GACGAACGCUGGCGGCGUGCUUAACACAUGCAAGUCGAACGGAAAGGCCAGGCUUUUGUGGGGUGCUCGAUUGGCGAACGGGUGAGUAACACGUGAGGAACCUGCCCUUAUCUUUGGGAUAACUUCAGGAAACAGGGGCUAAAAUCGGGUAGAAUAUCUUGCUGCGUGGGGGGGGUUGGAAAGUGUCGGCGGUGGUGGAUGGACUCGCGGGUUAUCAGCUUGUUGGGGGGGUAGUGGCUUACCAGGCCUUUGACGGGUAGCCGGCAUGAGAGGGUUGACGGGCACAAUGGGACUGAGAGACGGACCAGACUCCUACGGGAGGCAGUAGGGGGGAACAUGGCACAAUGGGCGGAAGCCUGAUGUAGCAGUCCCGCGUGCGGGAUGACCGCUUUCGGGUUGUAAACCGCUUUGGCCUGUGACGAAGCGUGCGUGACGGUAAUGGGUAAAGAAGCACCGGCUAACUACGUG
This 468-nucleotide ribosomal RNA is filed under the name uncultured bacterium. Its description in RNAcentral is "partial 16S ribosomal RNA". It matches the Rfam family "Bacterial small subunit ribosomal RNA", at positions 28 to 507 of the family's 1533-position model. The record is from RNAcentral.